Molecule: ribosomal RNA, 285 nt
Filed under: Triticum aestivum (bread wheat)
Lineage: Eukaryota; Viridiplantae; Streptophyta; Magnoliopsida; Poales; Poaceae
Description: partial small subunit ribosomal RNA
Source: RNAcentral
AUGUUCUUAUGGAUUGUUGGAGGCCCUCAAUCAUUUGCUCAAGCUGAGAACCGUUUUGUACGAUCACUUUGGACAGUUCAUACAAAGUUUAAGGAAGUUUUGUUAUGUUUGCGCAAGUUAGCGAAAGAUAACAUCAAACCUAGAGAUCCUACUUUUAGGCAUGAGCAUGAAAAGAUUAAGGAAGAGCGUUUCUGGCCUCAUUUCAAAGGCGCUAUUGGUGCCAUAGAUGGAUCACAUGUGCCAGUUUCAGUGCCUGCAGAUGAUGCGGUUAACCAUAGAUGUUGA